RNAcentral lists this long non-coding RNA (4871 nucleotides) under Mustela putorius furo (domestic ferret). RNAcentral describes it as "lncRNA (ENSMPUG00000024461.1)". The record is from RNAcentral. Lineage: Eukaryota; Metazoa; Chordata; Mammalia; Carnivora; Mustelidae.
AUGAGCGGAGCCCGGAGCCAGGCUAUUUGGCUGUGGCUGCAUUGGGAGCUGGGGACACAGAGGGACAAGACGACCUGUCCGGUGGGAACUGGAGCCCCUACAGAGGGGCCCUGUGAAGCCGCAGGGGAGCUGCCAGGUUUCUGCCUUCCUACAGCCCCGCAGCGGCGAGAACACGGUGGAUCCCGAGCGGUCUCCUGGCGCAAGGAUCUGAGAGCAAGCACGGAGCAAGCACGGAGCAAGCACGGAGCAAGCACCGAGCAAGCACCGAGCAAGCACCGAGCAAGCACCGAGCAAGCACCGAGCAAGCACCUGCACCGCGUGGGCUGCUUUUGUGUCCAGUUUUUUGAACCAGGAGCCUUCUAUACAGGCCUAGUGUUUGUGCCAAAGCCAUUCCUCUCGCAGGGCGUCUUCCAUGCUACGCUCCACGCCCCUGGGGGCUGCGGCCAGGAGUUGGGGCGCUCCUGGCCGAGGACGCGCCUCUGCUUCCGGGAAGCUGCUCCGCCAGGCUCCCGCUUCCGGCUCCCCAGCUCCGGGAGGCGGAGCUUCGUCGGCCUCUCCAGGCUGUGGUGCCCCCGCGGCCUCCCAGGCCCCCAAACUCUUUGCUUGGCCUUGUGCUUGCUGCUGCUGCCUGAGAAACCUUCUCAUGCCCGUCACAGACCACGGCCUCGCGGGGCUCCCAGGGCCGCACCCUUGCCCUUGACCCAGCUCCUAAAAGGCCACCACACCCAGGGUCUCCGUGAAGCGCCAAGGUCACAAAAUGGGGACAGAACAAGGAGGAAGAGGAAGAGCUAAAGAGGGACAGGCGGCGCGGCAGAAGGUGCAGGUAGGAGAGGCACCUCGCCUGGCUUGGGGUGGUGGUGGUGCGGGAAGGUUCCCGUGGGGGGACUGUGGAGGGGAGACCUGAGGGAAAUCGCGGAAGUAGCCUGGGCUACUUGGGGAGCUCCUGGGGAAGGAGGGCGAAGGCAGAGCAGGAACAGAGGCCUGAACGUGGAAGAAAAGCCCCAGUGAGGGCGGGUCCGUGGGGCGGGGAGAGGGGCAGAGAGGUGAACAGUGUGGGGAGCCUUCUGAUGGAUGGUUCCAGAGAAAUGACAGCCCUCAGUGCUUAUUGGAUGUGGAAUGUGAGAGAGGGGUCACUACAGCGGCACUGUGGCCCUGCUGACUUGGGCAGCUGGAAGAAUAAAAGGAAGACAGAGGUGGUAGCAGGCACUGAAUGGAAACCAGGUCAGCAGGAUUGGGAAGGAAGAUCUGAUGAUUUCUCCUCCUUUUCCCUUCCCCUCCCUCCUUCUUCUAACUCCACGAGUCUGAAACACUUGUGGAAAAUCUGCUUAAGCUAGAAUGGUUCUGGGGUGCAGUUUCUACCUACAGAUUUAAAGAAUGCUUGUUCAUCUAGGAAACAUGGACGUUCCAACUAACAAGGUUGUGUUACUCCAUAAAUUCUACAAAGUAUGAUACAAAUGGCAAAGAAUACUGAAAAUACACCAUUUGGAUAUGAUUCCAGAUGUUUCCAUCACGAUCAUGAGAGGAACACAGGUCAGUUUUAAAGAUGGCAAUUUUUAUUAGCGUGUGUGUCUUGUAGUGACACCUAGUCAAAGUUUUUGCAGGUCAGCAGGUCGACCUCGAGCCAAGACGUUUUUAAAACGCUUUGAGAGGAGGCGGGCAGAAGCAUCAGCCACACGCACAGUAGUCCUUCGUGAAACUGGCUGGUUUCUCAGGAAGGCCUGCCUCACAAUUACCAAGCAGGACAAACAAGACUGUCUCCCUGAGCAAACACGGCCAAGUCAGGAACUGUGAAAUUUUCUCUAUCAAAAAAGUCCCCAGAGAGCCUGAAACUCAUUUAGAGCUGGUUCAGAGAGAACCAGUUCGAGGAACAUGACUAACUUCGUACAGCACCUUUAAAAUAACAACUUUCCAUUAAGCUGUGAACACUAAGGAAAACAUUUCUCACAAAUAUUUUUUAACCAACUUCCAACAGAGCAUUGCCUUAUACAGCUGCCGUGACUGAAACACUGCUUUCGUUCUAUGAGGAGCUAUAGGACCUCCUGCAGAGAUGAGCAUGCUCUCAGGGCAUGGCUUUUUACAGCUUUUCUAGGAGGAAAAUAGAGUAGGAAUUCUCCACAUCAUUUGUAAUGUGAAAUAUUCUUUGGCUCUGUUACAUAAAAAUACAUAUCAGAAUAAAAGUGAUGGUGAGGUGAACAUGAAUUUACUAUUGAAUCUCACUCUUUCUUAAAAAAAAAAGAGAGAGAGAGAAUUAUAAGGACUUAUUAGACACCAGGCACCUUUAUAGGUGCUGGAGAUGAGAAGCUAAAUGAUAAGGUCUCUCAUUCUAUGUGGACAUUCACAAGGUCUCACUCACAAGGUCUCAUUCAUAAGGCCUCACAUUCUAUGUGGACAGAAAGAGAAUAAACAAGAAAACAUAGAAAUGAACAAAAUAAUUUCAGUUUGUGCUGAGCAGUAUGAAGAACUAUGAACAGUGGGUUUAUGGAAGAAUGUUAGGGGCUGGGGCAAGGCGUGCAAUUAGAAGAGUAGUCAGGAAUGUUUAGUUCAUACAUUUCAUAGAAGAGAGUGAUAUUCAUGAUAUGUGAAAAUUACAAAAAAUUUCAAAUUUUCGCACCCAUAGAUGAAGUUGUAUUGGAAUGUAGCCAUGUUUAUGUAUUGUCUAUCACUAAUUUGUGCUAUGUUGUCAAAGUUGAGUCAUUACAGCAGAGAGAGUAUGGCUUCCAAAGCAGAAAUAUUUACUAUGUGGUUCUUUACAGAAAUAGUUUUCUGAUCUGGUCUAGAUUUAGGAAAAUGAGAAGGAAAUGUUAAGAAUGCAGAUUCUUAAACAUUAAAAUUAAGAGUGUUGUGUCUCUUAGAGUUACAUUAUGAAUAGUACAAAAAUGAGGAAAUAUUUUUGCAGUAUUUGGAAACUAUUAUCCAAUCCAACAAAGAAAUCUUUCACAUUGUUACCAAACAAGUGAAGUUCCGCCAUACUUCUAUGUUCCUUCACUUUCUUCUUAACCAAAAUAAAUAAAAAUAUCAACCAACAUUAAUGAUGUGAGUUAUUUCUUUGCUCAGUCAUACAGUAAUCAAGACUGAUUUUGUGAUGAUAUUGCUGGGAAUUGUACAAAACCUGAUGGUGGAGGAAUGAUGUCAGGGAAGAGAGUAGAGUAGGAAUCUCCAGAAAGCCAUUCUAGUAAAUAAAGGGAUACCUGGGUGGCGCAGUCAAUUAAGCAUCCAGCUCUUGGUCUCUGCCCAAGUCAUGACCUCAGGGUCAUGGGAUCGAGCCCCACAUUGGGCUCCAUACUCAACGCAGAGUCUGCUUGAGACUCUCUCCCUUUCCCUCUGCCCCCCCUUUCCCCGUGCACUCUCUCUCUCUGUCUCUAAAAUAAACAGGAACACUGUGUGUGGUACAUAAAUAAUGAAUCUUGGAAUACUGAAAAAAUAAGAUUAAAAAAAAUAAAUAUGGGAAAAAAAUUUAAAAAACAAAAACCCAUGAAAGAAAACAUUGAUAAAGUGAACCUCAUCAAAAUUAAAACCUAAUUCUAUGACAGACCCUACUAAAAGGAUGAAGAAACAACUUACGGGGGGGGGGAGGAAUACUUGCAUACUGCAUAUUCAAUUAAGGAUAUCCAGAAUAAAGAACUCUCAGAACUUAAUAAAGUAAUCUAAUUAGAACAUAAUGAACAAAAAACAAAGAGACAUUUCACUAGAGAACAUAUACAGGUGGCAAUAAGCUCAUGAAGAGAUAUUCAACACCACUAGCCAUUAGGGAAAUGCUAAGACCAUGAUGAAUUAAUAAUAACACAUCUUGCAGAACAGCUUGAAACCUCAAAAAUAAAAACAAAAAACAAAAGAUAAUACCAAACGCUGGUGAGAAUGAAGAGAAACUCAUUUUCUCAUAAAUCUAUGGUGGGAACUAAAUGGUACAGCCAAUCUGGAAAAGUUAGAUAGUUUCUUUAAAAACUACACAAUUAUUAUAUAUGCUAUUCCAAUCAGAAGUCACAGAGUUCAGAAUAGAUUAAAAAAAAAAAAAAGACCUAUCCAUAUGCUGCAUACAAGAGACUGAUUUUAGACUUAAAGUCAUCUACAAAUUGAAGUAAGGAGAUAGAGAACAUCUAUUUUGCCCAUAAACAUUAAAAAAAAAAAAAGUGCUGAAGUAGCCAUACUUUUACCAAACUAGAUUUUAAGUGAAAGACUGUAACAAGAGAUAAAGGAGAACAUUACCUCAUAAUUAAGAGGUCUAUACAUCAAGAAGAUCUAACAACUAUAAAUAUUUAUGCCCCCAACUUGGGAGCACCCAAAUAUACAAAUCAAUUAAUAGCAAACAUUAAAAAAAAAAAAACACCUCAUUGAUAAUAAUACAAUAAUAGUGGAGACUUUAGCACCACACUAACAGCAAUAGACAGAUCAUCUAAGCAUAAAAUCGACAAGGAAACAGUGGCUUUGAUUGACACAUUUGACCAGAUGAACUUAACAGAUACAUUCGAACAUUUCAUCCUAAAGAAGUGGAAUACACAUUUGCAAGUGCACAUGGAACAUUCCCUAGAAUAGAUCACAUACUGGGUCACAAAUCAGCACUCAACACGUACAAAAUAUUGAGAAUAUGCCAUGCAUAUUUUCAGACCACAACACAAUGAAACUUGAAGUCAACCACAGGAAAAAUUUGGUAAGGUCACAAAUACAUGGAAGUUAAAGAACAUCAUACUAAAGAACGAAUAGGUUAACCAGGAAAUUAAAGAAUAAAUUUAGGGGCUUCUGGGUGGCUCAGUGGGUUAAAGCCUCUGCCUUCAGCUCAGGUCAUGAUCCCAGGGUCCUGGGAUCAAGCCCUGCAUCAGUCUUUCUUAUCAGCAGGGAGCCUGCUUCCUCCUCUCUCUCUGCCUGCUUCUCUGCCA